This 412-nucleotide ribosomal RNA is filed under the name Prionospio sp. E TMG-2019. RNAcentral describes it as "partial large subunit ribosomal RNA". It matches the Rfam family "Bacterial large subunit ribosomal RNA", at positions 1967 to 2597 of the family's 2925-position model. Lineage: Eukaryota; Metazoa; Annelida; Polychaeta; Spionida; Spionidae. The record is from RNAcentral.
AUUUGCCUUUUAAUUGGAGGCUAGUAUGAACGGAUAAACGAGAAUAUGGCUGUCUCACUACCAGUAAUGAAAAUUAACCUUCAAGUGAAGAGGCUUGAAUUGUAUAAAAAGACGAAAAGACCCUAUGGAGCUUUACUUACAUAGAGAACGAGGCACAAUAAAAAACUGCCAAACUCCUAAAUAGUUCAGUUGGGGCGACUGAGGAGCACUAUUAAAGCCCCCUCAACACACAAGAAAAUAAAUCUAUUAAAAAUCCACAAACGUGAAUAAAGAAUCAGCUACCCUAGGGAUAACAGGCUAAUCCUUCUCGAGAGCCCAAAUUGACAGAAGGGGUUGGCACCUCGAUGUUGGCUUAAGGUACCUCUAAAGUGCAGCAGCUUUAGUAGUAGGUUUGUUCAACCUUUAAAACCUU